AAAAUGCGAUACUUGGUGUGAAUUGCAGAAUCCCGUGAACCAUCGAGUUUUUGAACGCAAGUUGCGCCCGAAACCAUUCGGUGGAGGGCACGUCUGCCUGGGCGUCACGU
This 110-nucleotide ribosomal RNA is filed under the name Doronicum maximum. Its description in RNAcentral is "partial 5.8S ribosomal RNA". It matches the Rfam family "5.8S ribosomal RNA", at positions 50 to 154 of the family's 154-position model. Rfam says of the family: 5.8S ribosomal RNA (5.8S rRNA) is a component of the large subunit of the eukaryotic ribosome. It is transcribed by RNA polymerase I as part of the 45S precursor that also contains 18S and 28S rRNA. Lineage: Eukaryota; Viridiplantae; Streptophyta; Magnoliopsida; Asterales; Asteraceae. The record is from RNAcentral.